AUACGGAGGACGCGAGCGUUAUCCGGAUUCAUUGGGUUUAAAGGGUGCGCAGGCGGCCGUGCAAGUCAGCGGUGAAAGCCCGGGGCUCAACCCCGGAAGUGCCGUUGAUACUGCAUGGCUGGAAUGCGGUCGAGGCGGGCGGGACGUGGGGGGUAGCGGGGAAAUGCGUAGAUAUGCACAGAACGCCGAUAGGGGAGGCAGCUGGCCAGGCAUGAAUUGACGCUCGGGCACGAAAGCGUGGGGAUCGAACAGGAUUAGAUACCCUGGUAGUCCACGCCGUAAACGAUGGGCGCUCGUCGUCGGCGGCAGACAGUCGGCGGCCAAGCGAAAGCGAUAAGCGCCCCACCUGGGGAGUACGGUCGCAAGGCUGAAACUCAAAUGAAUUGACGGGG
RNAcentral lists this ribosomal RNA (392 nucleotides) under uncultured bacterium. RNAcentral describes it as "partial 16S ribosomal RNA". It matches the Rfam family "Bacterial small subunit ribosomal RNA", at positions 523 to 918 of the family's 1533-position model. The record is from RNAcentral.